UACAUGGGGUGCAAACGUUGCUCGGAAUUAUUGGGCGUAAAGCGCGCGUAGGCGGUUACUUAAGUCGGAUGUGAAAGCCCUCGGCUUAACUGAGGAAGUGCAUCCGAAACUGAGUAGCUAGAGUACGAAAGAGGGUCGCGGAAUUCCCGGUGUAGAGGUAAAAUUCGUAGAUAUCGGGAGGAACACCGGUGGCGAAGGCGGCGACCUGGGUCGAGACUGACGCUGAUGCGCGAAAGCGUGGGGAGCAAACAGG
This 253-nucleotide ribosomal RNA is filed under the name uncultured bacterium. RNAcentral describes it as "partial 16S ribosomal RNA". It matches the Rfam family "Bacterial small subunit ribosomal RNA", at positions 524 to 776 of the family's 1533-position model. The record is from RNAcentral.